GACGAACGCUGGCGGCGUGCCUAAUACAUGCAAGUCGAACGCAUUUUCUUUCACCGUAGCUUGCUACACCGAAAGAAAAUGAGUGGCGAACGGGUGAGUAACACGUGGGUAACCUGCCCAUCAGCGGGGGAUAACACUUGGAAACAGGUGCUAAUACCGCAUAAUUCCAUUUACCGCAUGGUAGAUGGAUGAAAGGCGCUUUUGCGUCACUGAUGGAUGGACCCGCGGUGCAUUAGCUAGUUGGUGGGGUAACGGCCUACCAAGGCUGCGAUGCAUAGCCGACCUGAGAGGGUGAUCGGCCACACUGGGACUGAGACACGGCCCAGACUCCUACGGGAGGCAGCAGUAGGGAAUCUUCGGCAAUGGACACAAGUCUGACCGAGCAACGCCGCGUGAGUGAAGAAGGUUUUCGGAUCGUAAAACUCUGUUGUUAGAGAAGAACAAGGAUGAGAGUGGAAAGUUCAUCCCUUGACGGUAUCUAACCAGAAAGCCACGGCUAACUACGUG
This 507-nucleotide ribosomal RNA is filed under the name uncultured bacterium. Its description in RNAcentral is "partial 16S ribosomal RNA". It matches the Rfam family "Bacterial small subunit ribosomal RNA", at positions 28 to 507 of the family's 1533-position model. The record is from RNAcentral.